Punica granatum (pomegranate) is the source of this 801-nucleotide non-coding RNA. NCBI's taxonomy places the organism in Eukaryota, Viridiplantae, Streptophyta, Magnoliopsida, Myrtales, Lythraceae. The record is from RefSeq and is a predicted model, not a curated record.
UCCAAACAUGCAUACAUUACAUAUACAUACAUAUGUUUAUAUAUAUAUAUAUAUAUAUGUAUUAUAUAUGUGCAUACAUUACAUAUACAUACAUAUGUUUAUAUAUAUAUAUAUUAUAUGUACACGUUGCUGGAGAAAGAAAAAAAACAAGAAGAAGAAAGGGUAGAAAUGGCCCCACGUGGCCUUCAUUUUUCCAUGCAAUUCCUUCCACCGCCAUCCAUUUUUCCUUUCAAUUGCUCUUUUUUUAUUCAUUUUUUUGCUCUGUUUUUGAGCUGUGGGGAAACCGAAGGAACAGAGUGAGAGUGAGAGAGAGAGACAGAGAGAGAAACGAUGAGAGGGAGAGAGAGAGGGAGGACAAGAGCAAGAGCUCGAAAGCACGGGAGGAAGGCAUAGAGCUCGGCAUGCAUGAGUUCAAGGGAGAGAAAGAUGAAAGGCACAAAUCGGGCUCGUGGAGACUGAAUUCUUGCACUUUGAAGGAUUGACUCAGUGAAAUGACUUUGACAAGCUCGAUAAGCUUCUAGCUGUGCGGAAGAACCACUUUUUGAUAUCGGGGAUCAGCUUGGAGAACUAGAUAAGCUAGGAGCUAGAUUAGUAGCACGGGAGAAUCUUUUUGCACAUCAGGGAUCAACGUGAAGGAUUUUGCAGCUAGACUUACUCGUGGUACAGCUCUUGCCCAGUUCCAGCGUCCCUCGCUCAAGAAUCUCUCCCACUUCCUUCUCGAGGACAAGUUUGACUCUCUCCAACCAGCCACGGACUUCUGGUGUUCUAACCAAGUGCUGAUCUUCCUCCCUCUUAACUCGU